RNA transcript from Colius striatus (speckled mousebird), 6584 nucleotides. It is a transcript of the gene named codanin 1, with no coding region annotated. NCBI's taxonomy places the organism in Eukaryota, Metazoa, Chordata, Aves, Coliiformes, Coliidae. The record is from RefSeq and is a predicted model, not a curated record. The transcript has 33 exons.
UCGCCUGCCCUGCCCCCGGCCGCCGCGGGGUCUGCGCCUGCUCCGCAGCGGCCGCGGCAGCAGCCGGGAAUGGCGGCUGUUUUGGAGCUGCUGCUGCAGGAGGAGGUGGCGGUCAGCGACGUGGUGCGGUGGCUCCGCCGCAGCGCCGGCCAUCGCCCCGCUGAGGAGAACCACGUCCAUGACAAGCUGGUACCUCUCAGUUUGCUUCAGAAAGACUUUGUGCCUUUUCUGCUCAAUUUUUUAAGGGAGCAAACCAGCCAGAUCCUGACUAAUGGACCCUCUACUCCUGCUAAAACCCCUAGUUCCAAGGGCCACGGGAGCCAAAGGACGGGAUCCGAAAGGCGGGCGGGCCACGCAAGCAGCAGCCGGGUGCAGCUCUUUUCCCAGAGGACAUCGGUGACCACCAGCACAGACACCAGCUUCUCUCCUCCCGUGGCGUCCAGCGGCUCCUCUUCCUUUUCUGGGUCAAGCCUGUCCAGCCCUCCUUGUGGUGACUUCCCUGGCGUGGCCUCCGGCAGCAGCCCGAGCUUCCGCUACAGCCCCGUGCUCAGCCAGGGCGAGAGGCGCUGGGCUCAGAAGGCCAGCCUGGGGAGCUUCCUCAGCGCCACGCCUGAGGCCCUGCCCGCCAGGCGAGGCCGGAGGAAAGGCAGCGGCGCGGCCAGUGCCCCCGGCCGACAGGUAGCCCGGGAUCUGGGGCAUGCCCUGGCUGAAGAGGAAGACGGGAGGAACGAAGGCGUGUCGUGGAGCGGAGGGAGAAGGAAGCGGAGCGAAGUGCCUCUUGUUUCUGCCAGAUCCCCACCCAGCCAGCUCAAUCUCAACAACUUGGAGGAGUUUCCCCCCAUGGGUGCUGCCUCUGGCUGGACAAACAAAAGCAAACCAUCGAGGCGUAUCAACCCGACUCCUGUAAGUGCUGAGCGGCCCCUCUCAAAACCAAAGAUGUGCUUCACUUCUACACCCGUCAGCCAGUCUCCAGCUGCUCGGUUUUCAUCUGUGUCAAGCCUUGAGGCCUUUACCACUGUCCAGGAAGGAAACCUCACGUCUGUGAUAAGCAGCAGCCUUCGAGAGGAGAGGGAGAUGCUAAAGAAAGAACGAUGCAAGUUGCUGCACCAGGCAUCUUCUCCUGCAGGGAUACCUCCUGAUCCUACUACUCCUACUAAGCCUGGCUACACUCGCAGUGCUAGCCUUCCUGCUGAAAGCCAUCUGGUGACCUGUGCCAAUCCUACUAAGGUUUCCUGCAAGAGGCAGCUGGAGUGCCUGGCACAGCUCUACUCGUCAUGUAUAGCAGAAAACCUGGUACCAAGUAUUUUUCUGGAGCUCUUUUUUGUUCUGCAGCUGUUGACAUCUAAAGGCACUUCAGCUGCAGAAGAUGGGGAUAGUGACCUUGAGGUCAAUGAAAGAAUCAAAGAUGUGUCAGGGGGACAACAUUUCCAAAGUGUUCACAACUGUGUUUAUUUUGCUGUUCAAGUCUUGGAUUAUCAGUAUGAAAUUAUUUCCCAUUUAGAAAAGGGGACACUGAAGCUUUUGGCUGAAAAUGAAAGGAUUGCAGCUUUUUCUCCCACCUUGCACGAGAGGCUCAGGCAGGCCUACGAGAGCAGCACAGCCAAGGUGUCUCUCUUGCUGCCAUGCUCUGUGCAGUCAGUCUCCUUCCAGCCAGAAACAGACAAUCGCUCUAACUUUCCCAGUGACAGAGCUUUCCACAUAUUUAAGAAACAGAGGGAUAUAUUCUAUGAACUGCUGCGUGAAUGGGAGGAUAACCAUGAAAAACCUGACUGGCACUUUGAAAGAGUUCUGGGCAACAAGAUCAGGGCCAUGAUGGCUCACCUAUCUGCAACCUGCAACCACAGCCAUUUUGCCAGGCUCUUUCAGAAACAGCUGAUCCAGAUGUGUAAAGGUCCUGUUGGUGGUGGUGUGAGCUGGGGAGACACCCCAGACCAGGAUGUCCUUAAUAUGCUGGGUUCUGACAAUUUGAGCCGUCUGAAGAGGCUGCAGGAAAGAUUUGUUGUUCCUCAGAGCAUCAGAGGACCUUGCCCACCUCCUUCAUUCCCAGGGUGCCAGCAGUUCUUCAAGGACUUCAUCCUCAGUGCAGGAAGUUACCAGUUCAAUCAGCACCUGAUGGAUAGCCUGUGCCUGAAGAUACUUGAACUGAAUGGCCUUACUGUGGUGGAGCACGAGCACAGUGAUGGGGAAGCAGACAUGGAUGAACAGGAUGAAAAGAAACGUUUCACUGUGGUUCUGUUAAGCCUAAGACUCCUGGCCAAGUUCCUGGGCUUCCUUGUUUUCUUGCCGUAUCGUGCUGGGGAGCAACCAACUAGAGACCUGCAAGACUCUGCAGUAGCCUUAAGAAACCAAACCCUGCCUAUACUGGAUGUAUUGAAGCUCCUGAGACAGUCUAUUCGGGAUCAACGUUCCAUCCUCACUGUUCCUUGGAUUGCAGAGUACCUUUCCCUUGUGGAUCAUGUUGCUCCUUUCCUUGAUUACUACAGGAAAGUAUUCUGUCUCUUGCUGCAGAUAUACAGGUUAAUGGUCCUUUCUGAAGAUAAGGAGAUGAGUUUCCUGAACAAACUGCUGAUCCUUGCAGUUCUGGGUUGGCUUUUUCAGGUUCCAUCAGUCCCUGAAGAGUUGUUUUUUACCACUGAUGUCAGGCAGGAGGGGUCUAUGAUGGAUACUGUGACAUCUGCUCAGGCUCUGGACUCCGUACCCUUGGUGGAUCAGCAGUUACUUUACACCUGCUGUCCCUACCUUGGUGAGCUGAGGAAGCUUCUUGCCUCUUUUGUGGCUGGCAGUGGAGCAAAAAAUGGUGGCUUUAUAAGGAAAAUCACUCCCACAGCCGCUGAGUCCCUGGCACCAAAGGCUUCUGUCACACAGCGGAAAGUGCAGGUGGAGUUGGAACAGGCUUUCUUCCACAACCAGCCUCCUUCCCUACGGAGAACAGUUGAAUUUGUGGCAGAGAGAGUGGGCUCCAACUGUGUUAAGCACAUCAAGGCAACCCUGGUAGCAGAGUUGGUUCAAAGGGCUGAAGUCAUGCUGCAGGAUAAAGUGAAGGAGGAGGAUACCAAUCAUGACAAGCUGCUCGAAGAGGUGUGCGCUCAUCUCUAUGAGGAAGGGGCUCAGGCCCUCAUCAAAGGCAGAGAGUUUUGCAGAAAGAAAGGCCCUGAGGCAGUAAGGGUGUUAUUGCCAGAAGAGACAUCUGCAGCAGUUUUAAGUAGUGCAGAAGACAUUGCAGUGGAACUGGCUACUGAGAAAGCCUGUGGCUGGCUCUCUGCCAACAUUGCAGCACUCAUCAAAAGAGAAGUGAAGGCAACCUUCAACAGAAUGCUGAAAGUCCCAGGCCUUGCCUUGCCCGGCGAGGACGCUCUGGAGUCACGAAGGAACUGCCCUCCAGGCUGCCAGCACUGUGCUCCCUUUCCCUCCCAGAUCAUCAACGAGAUUAAGGAUGUGCUCUGUGUUGCUGUGGGCCCACGGGAUGAGGGUGAAGCGAUUGACUGCGUCUGGCUGGAGAGCUUGCUGGGGAGACUGAGUCAGACACUUCAGUGCAGAAAGUUCAUGUGUCCCACAUCAGAGCAGCAGCUGGCAAAGUGCACAGUUGAGUUGGCUUCUUUGCUGGUGUCAGAUCGUGUUCCUCUGAGUCUCGGGGUCAAGUCCCCAGAGAAGAGCUCCGAGAGGCUGCGUGUAAAGAAUAAUCCCACCUACAGCCUUCUAAAGCUGCUACUUUCUGUCUGGAAGGAGGACUUUGGGACACCUGUGCCUGUGCAGCUCAUCUUCAGCAAGAAGAACAUGGCUUAUCUUGCACAAGUUAAGCAGCGAGAGUGGGAUUUCUUCCUUUUCAUGCUUCAUGGUCUUGUAGAACAUGAACUAAUGAGAACUAACGAAAUCGAGGGUUGCCUGCGUAGCCUCCAAGAGCUCCCUUGGCCCUCAGAUUUCUUGAAAGAGCUGGAAAUGCUGUCUGGAAUGUUUCUAUCAGAACACCAGAGAGAAGAGCCCAGGACUAACCCUCGCGAGCUGACCACACCAUCUCUAGGUACUGUGACAGCACUGAGUUAGCAGAGGUGGACUCUGUGUGGACAAAAAAUUCCUAAUGAAGAUGAUGCAAAUGGAACUUGCAGUGUUUCUGAAAGCAUCCUGAGCUCCCUGCUGGGAGCACACUGCAGCCAGGAGGGCUCUCGGUGCAGAACCUGCACUGCUCUCUCUGAUCGUGGAUGUUUUGCUGCGGUGGAUUGACAUCAGCAAAUGGAUCUCCAAAUCAGAAGUCCUUCAAGCACCUUGAUCUUGGCUCAGAGCAGCCAUUUUUUGUAGACUCAAGAGACACUUUUUGUACUUUCCCAGACCCAGGAAUCCAUCCCAGGGGACAAGGGACUUGGUCAGCAGAGAGCUGGUUUCCUAGCGGCUGUCUCUGCUCUGAACUUGAUGUGAUAUGUCUCAUGCUGUCUUUUAACAAAGACUGUAGAGUCAAGGGAGGGAGGAGGUGAAUCUGUAUGACACAGAAAUGAGCCUAUAUUUAUUUUUCAUUGCCAGCUCAAAUGCAAAAGUUUAGUCUUUAUUAAAUUAGAGAAGUGAAACCACAUUAAACCUUUUACACCAGAACACCGAUGGCAUCAUUCGUAAAGGAUGCAGAUGCUGAGCUGGGUUUUUUCCCCAUCUCUUGUUGGAAACAGAACUUGUAAUUUCCUGGGGUUUUUAAUAGCAAUAAGGGAGAAAAAUACCUGUUUAUAUUUUUUACUGAAGACAGGAGCUUUUCUAGUCUGUGAACACAAAUGGCAUCUGGUUGCUAGUCACUGUUUUCUAUAACCCUCCUUGCCUCGAGCUUGAGUUUGAGCAGACAGGAAGAGCUGCAGCAAGAAAACUACUGGAAGAGCAGAGAAAAAGUAGUGAAAGAGCACUGUGCCAUGCCCUGGAGAGCUGGUUUGGAAAGGAAUCCUUUUCAUGGAGGACAGUGAGUGUUGCAGUGGCCACAGCUCUUUCCAUGAAACCAACAUACCUGGAGUGUCCCUCUAAUACAACAUGCUUGGAGAUUUUUGUUUAGAAGGUGACCAAGCCCCAGGAGCAGUUUGGCACUUCCAGAGGGUGGAGUUGUGCCCUGUUUGGCAGCAGGCAGGCAGCUGUGCCGUGGGACCCAGCAGGUGAAGGGAGUGGUGGAGCUGGACUUGGGAAGGAGCUGCAGCCAGUGCAUCGUUUCGAAACGCCACAACGCGUUUGCUUGGCCAAGGCCCUGCGGCGCAGGAACUGCAGGGCUUUCAUGUCCUGCCUCCUUCACUCUUGGCUUCCAUAAGAAAGGGUGUGGAAGGGGAGCUACAGGACAGGCUGUGGAUCUGGAACUCCUGCUCAGUUGCAGCCAGCUGUUGUGAUGUGCUGCCUCUUUCUCCUUGAGAGGCUGUGGAAGAUGCAUGCCACUCAAAGUGAGCCAUGCCAUGACUCAGGCUGGUAAGAAAAGGGCUGAGCCUUGCCAGAAAGAACAGUGAUUUAUCAGAGUUAAGAUUGUAACCACAGCCAUCUGAAGUCAAAACAAAGCGAAUUAGUAAGUGAAAGGCUUUUGUUACCCUACCUGGUACCAUUUGGAGGGGGGAAGCCUUGGGCUGGUGUGUCUCAAAACUGCUAUUUUCUUAAAUGCCAAUUUAAAACAGCUCUUUCCUUUUAAAACAAGAUAUUCUUCACAGGAAGUAAGCUGAGAGCCAAAAUGACACCUGUGCAAAGAUACAUAGUGAAAGUAGAUCUUGGCACUUGAACUCAGAGGUGGGAAGUGCAGGUGGCAAAACGCUGCCUGGGGGUAAGGGGGAUGCUUGAAUACAUAGCUCUCACUUGACAGAUUCCAAGUGCAACAGCUUAUUGACCAGUGUUGGCUUUUCUGAGCUAAGGAAAGCAUAUCACAGCAGCUUUUAUUGCUUAGACAAGAUACCUAAAGUGAUUCUUUACCGUUGUGCUGAAGGACUAUGUGAAGUUACUCGGAUGUCUGAGGCUGUUGUGGUUUUUGUUUCAGUUGAGGAAUGUGGAAGCAAACUAGGGAGCGUGUUGAACAAACAUGUAACACCUGACAGCAGGAUCAUUGGGCUCAGUUCAACACAAACACCAUGAGGUGCUGGUGCCUGCCUGUGCCCUCUCAGCUGCCCUUGCCCCAGCGCUACCUGGCGAGGAAAUGCGCCAGGCGAGCGAUCACCAGCGGCUGCCGCUUGGCCAUGGAGCUGAGGAGCCUGGCGGGGACGGCCGGGGCGCCCAGAUCCACCUGCAGGAAGCACAAGAGAAGCCACAUGCUGAGGUUUGCAUGCUGAGGUUUGCACCCUGGCCGUCAACAGACCACUUCUGCAGCCUGGGACGGCUCUGAUGGUGUGACCUUGUGGCAAACAUGGAAGCUGUUCACAGCCCAGCGCUGUCGUUACUGGCUGGUUCCAGGAUCCAAGCACUGGGCAGAAUCUCCCCUCUCACCAGUUCCUUCGCGGGGUGCGGCAUGGACGCGUCAUACACAGACUGAACGGCCAGCACAGACAAGUUCUCCUGCAAACAAGUGUGAAGGUGACAACGUGGCAGAGGAACUUCAUGCAUAUAGUAUUGUUUCACUGUUUGCCAGGAGCUGUGUUUCUUAAAAGAGCUCUUUC